Molecule: long non-coding RNA, 461 nt
Organism: Triticum aestivum (bread wheat)
Lineage: Eukaryota; Viridiplantae; Streptophyta; Magnoliopsida; Poales; Poaceae
Exons: 3
Source: RefSeq, a predicted model, not a curated record
GAGCCGGAUCGACCUCGCGCUCCUGGUCCAUCCCGUGUCCACCAGAGACACCGCACGUGAGGCAAAGCCCUAGGGGAGACCCCGCAACCCCUUCCCGACCCCUGUUGCUGCCGACGCUUUGCCCGAGCUCGUUUUGGAUCUCGGGAGAAGCUCCGCCGACCGCCGCCGUUCGCCGAACGUUUGCGCCGCCCAGAGGGAGAGGAACACGCCGGCCGACUUCACGGGAUCUCGCCAGAGUUCGCGACACCGCCGUCUAUAGAGGACGCCCCCAUCGCCGUACUCACCACCACCACCUCCGCCACUCAACGCUGCACCCGUCCGUCCCUUCGUCUUCGCCGGAGCACCGCCGGAGAAGCGCCGCCGCCGACGCCCGAGACCGCCGCCGCCGUCCUCUGCUUCUGAUUGUCCAGAGUGCGACGCGAGCUAUUGUCAGGAGUGUGACUUUCUGAACCAGAACCAAG